GACGAACGCUGGCGGCGUGCCUAAUACAUGCAAGUAGAACGCACAGUUUAUACCGUAGCUUGCUACACCAUAGACUGUGAGUUGCGAACGGGUGAGUAACGCGUAGGUAACCUGCCUGGUAGCGGGGGAUAACUAUUGGAAACGAUAGCUAGUACCGCAUAAUAUUAAUUAUUGCAUGAUAAUUAAUUGAAAGGUGCAAUUGCACCACUACCAGAUGGACCUGCGUUGUAUUAGCUAGUAGGUGAGGUAACGGCUCACCUAGGCGACGAUACAUAGCCGACCUGAGAGGGUGAUCGGCCACACUGGGACUGAGACACGGCCCAGACUCCUACGGGAGGCAGCAGUAGGGAAUCUUCGGCAAUGGACGAAAGUCUGACCGAGCAACGCCGCGUGAGUGAAGAAGGUUUUCGGAUCGUAAAGCUCUGUUGUAAGAGAAGAACGGGGGUGAGAGUGGAAAGUUCACACUGUGACGGUAUCUUACCAGAAAGGGACGGCUAACUACGUG
Molecule: ribosomal RNA, 505 nt
Filed under: uncultured bacterium
Lineage: Bacteria
Description: partial 16S ribosomal RNA
Rfam family: Bacterial small subunit ribosomal RNA
Source: RNAcentral